This 420-nucleotide long non-coding RNA is filed under the name Bos taurus (domestic cattle). RNAcentral describes it as "long non-coding RNA NONBTAT016568". Lineage: Eukaryota; Metazoa; Chordata; Mammalia; Artiodactyla; Bovidae. The record is from RNAcentral.
UUUUAAGUAGGUAUGGAUCGAUACUACUAUGUGGAAAAUUAACUAGAAAGAACACUUGACUGUUACUAUCUAUUUAGGAAAAGUAUUCUUAAAUUGUAACAUGCUUUAUUGUGUCAUAUACUCGACAACUGUAACUUUUAAUCACUGGUUAUAGAUUAUAUGACAACGUACCAAAUUAAAAUUCCCUUAAUUAUGGGAUCGUUCGCUAUACAUUAUUUUUAAGUUCACUGUUAGGAGUUCAAAUUUAUAGAGUCAAAAUAUUGACAUUCUGUAGGUUUCUGCAGCUUCAAUAAGCUGUCAUAGCAGAUUCUUGUAGGAUUUUUUAUUGCAACAAGUUAAGGUGAUUUUUCUUUCACAAGGAAGUUUUAUUCUUACAUAACUUAUGUUGCCAGAUCUUUCUAUUUUGAAUGAAAAGUUGGA